GAGGAAUGUAUAGCAAUAGCUAGUUGCAUCGUUGUAAAUAUGAUGCAAGAUUGACUAUGUUGAAUAAAAUUCUAGGUAGAAUUAUGAUAAUGACAUUAUCUGCCUAUGUGUCUUGACCAAAUUACGUGCCAGCAGUCGCGGUAAUACGUAGAAGACUAGUGUUAUUCAUGUUUAAUCGGUUUAAAGGGUACCUAGACGGCAGAUCAAGCUUUCCGAGCAGAAUAAAAACAAGAACUGAUGAAACAAAAAUAAAAAUAAAAGGACUAAUUUGCUAGAGUUACUUACGAGGGAGUUUUAAAGUACUACUGGUGUAGAGAUGAAAUUCUGUAAUACCUCUUUUCGAAAGAAAAAUAAUGGCACAGGUAUAGGCGAAGGCAUCCCCUUAUGUGAUAACUGACGUUGAGGGACGAAGGCUUUAUAUAACGAACAGGAUUAGAUACCCUAGUAGUGGAAGCAGUAAAUGAUGAAUGUCAUAGAUUAGAUAGAUUAGUUUAUUCUAUAAAUGAAAGUGUAAGCAUUCCACCUCAUGAGUAAUUUGGCAACAUUGGAAUUGAAAUCAUUAGACCGUUUCUGAAACCAGUAGUGAAGUAUGUUGUUUAAUUUGAUAACCCGCAAAAAACCUUACCACAAUUUGAAUAUAUAUAUUAUAUUUAUUGUUUUUUUUUCAUUUUNUUCUGUUUUAUUUUUAAUAAAACAGGAAAAAACUUAAUAAGGAGGCAAUGAGAUAUAUUUACAAGCGUUGCACGGCUGUCUUCAGUUAAUGUCGUGAGAUUUUGGUUAGAUCCAUUAAAUUAACGUAAACCCUUACUUUAUUUUUAGAUAGAGUUGUUCCCCACUAUAUUGGAUAGGAU
RNAcentral lists this ribosomal RNA (851 nucleotides) under Hypotrachyna sinuosa. Its description in RNAcentral is "SSU rRNA". It matches the Rfam family "Bacterial small subunit ribosomal RNA", at positions 356 to 1146 of the family's 1533-position model. Lineage: Eukaryota; Fungi; Ascomycota; Lecanoromycetes; Lecanorales; Parmeliaceae. The record is from RNAcentral.